RNAcentral lists this long non-coding RNA (1478 nucleotides) under Salmo salar (Atlantic salmon). Its description in RNAcentral is "lncRNA (ENSSSAG00000097392.1, ENSSSAG00000104732.1)". The stretch from base 1055 to 1108 matches the Rfam family "UnaL2 LINE 3' element". The record is from RNAcentral. Lineage: Eukaryota; Metazoa; Chordata; Actinopteri; Salmoniformes; Salmonidae.
GCUCAUUCAAGCCAUCAACUGGGAUGCUACAAAGUGAACUUUGGUUGUGUUUGUCAUUUGCUAACUUAUCCUCAGACAGCAAACCUACCGACUGAUGUGGAAAUGGUUAGUCUAUCUGUCUCAAGUCUGGACAGCUGGUGACACUUGUAGAUUUUUUUUACAGGGUCUUCUUUUUUGCUUGACAAAACCAUCACCAUGGAUACGCCAGAUCUAGGCCACAAGAAGUGGGUCAGGAACGAUGGAUGGAGCGAAAUGUGUUGAUGCGGAUCAUUUUCCCCUACUUUCCCACAUGGCGUGUGGAUGGAGAGAAUGAUCUCACUGCUGUCCUGGCAUCUCUCAUACCUCAGCUACUGCCUUCCUCCCUCCAGCGCAGCUAGAGGACCCAGACAGCUCGACCUUUAUGAACCGUUAAUUAACAAGUCAAAAUAUAUCCCAUGAAAAAAACGCCACUGCUUUACGGCAAAGCUAACGCUGGAUGACCCAGACUUGAAAAGCCCAGGGAUAGACGGCUCAAAGAUGAAAGCAUUGUGACGGUCAACCAGGGCAGGGAUAAAUGAUGAGUUGGCAGAAAAGGCCUGGAGAAGGCUUCCUUAUGCAACACAGCGGACUGAGUGGCAUGGACUGGUAAAGGUUAAAUAUAUCCAGUCAAGUGUCACAAAAUCCAACUUGAUUGUUUCACUGUGACCUGGUUUUGUGAUUCAUCCUUUUUUAAACCAAGUUUUAUUCUGAAAGCAAAUUCAAACUUGGUUUAAACAAGGAUGAACAACAAAAUAAGUUAAAUUUGAUUUCAGCUCCCUUCCACUCUUUUAAACAGUAAGAUUUAAGCCAGAGGGUAUUUCUCACGGUGCAUUUCAUAUAUGCAUAUGUACAUUGCAGAUGCUAUUAAGUUUUGUGUUCUGCCAAAGACUGGUGAGUCAGUGGUGCAGCUCUGUACAUUUGAGUAUGCAUGCAGCAUACUGUUGUUCAGCAUUGAGCAAAUGUGCAUUAGUGCACUUUCCAGAUGAAUGAAAUAAAAAAAUGUUAAAAAAUUAUGCAUUAAAUGGAAUGAAAUGUAUGUAUUCACUACUAUAAGUCGCUCUGGAUAAGAGUGUCUGCUAAAUGACUAAAAUGUAAAACGGACAGGGAGUGUGGCUUGAACACUCAACCUUCUGUCCCGAAGCCCACCGGACCAUCGACUGUGCCACAAAAGCAUGCUGAAGUGGCAGAGUUGAUAUCUGCGCUUAAAACAUAGGGACGCUACAGUACAGUGCACUCGGAAAGUAUUCAGACACCUUAACUUUAUCCACAUUUUGUUACGUUACAGCCUUAUUCUAAAAUUGGUUAAAUUGCUUUUUUUCCCUCCUCAAUCAACUACACACAAUACCCCAUAAAAAAUAUGACAUUUACUUAAGUAUUUAGACCCUUCACUCAGUACUUUGAAGCGCCUUUGGCAACGAUUACAGCGUUGAGUCUUCUUGGGUAUUGCGCUACAAGCUUGG